Molecule: long non-coding RNA, 382 nt
Filed under: Medicago truncatula (barrel medic)
Lineage: Eukaryota; Viridiplantae; Streptophyta; Magnoliopsida; Fabales; Fabaceae
Description: lncRNA gene4846
Source: RNAcentral
GCUGUAAACAUUAUUUAUAAGGAGAAUGUUAAUGGUUCUUUAAGCAUAAGGUGACAAAUUUUAAACAAAUCAUUUUUUGUAUAAAAUUUCUUCACCGUGUGUUUAAGAUCCAUUUGCAAGUUCUUGUUUAACAAACAAAAUUUUGAGUUUAUUAUGGAAGAUUUAAUUGAAAUUUUGUCUAUUUAUUUUAAUUUUGAUUUUGGUAAGUUAAAUUGUUUUAAAUAAUUUCGGCCCUCACAAUUUUUUUUUUAGAGAAUGUUAACUAGUGUCUCAAAAAUAUUGGUUAAGCAUCCAAAACAAACAAAUUUUCUUGAAAGAAUUGCGUAAUCAUUACUUGAUCAAAAAUAAAAUCUUACAUUUCCAAGACAAUAUUUUUAUUUUU